This is a long non-coding RNA of Haemorhous mexicanus (house finch), 1030 nucleotides long. RefSeq lists it as uncharacterized. The record is from RefSeq and is a predicted model, not a curated record. Lineage: Eukaryota; Metazoa; Chordata; Aves; Passeriformes; Fringillidae. The transcript has 2 exons.
UCCCAGCUCUCCGCCCUCUUCCAGGUCAGCAUUGACCCCCAAAAAUUCCCCAAAUUCCCCCCAAAAUUCCCUCCCAAAAUCAAAAAAAAAUUCAGAAAAAUUCACCAAAAAAUCCCCAAAAAAUCACAAAAAAAUCACAAAAAAAUCACGAAAAAAUCCCCAGGAUCCAGGGGGGCUCCCAGCUCUCCGCCCUCUUCCAGCUGGAGGUGGCGGUGCUGAGCCCGUGCUGGCGCCUGGAGCUGGGCGCUGCCCACGGCUCCUUCGAGCUGCCCUCGCACUCGUGCUCGGGGCUGCCAAAAACCCCCAAAAUUCUCCAAGAAUGCCCAAAAAACCCCCAAAAAAUUCUCAAAAAUUCCCCAAAUCCCACAUACCAAAAUAUCCCAAAAACCCCUCAAACCCCCAAAAGAAUCAUUUACAAAAUCACCCAAAAAAUCCCCAAAAAAUCCCCAAAAAUCCCCAAAAAAUCGCGAAAAAUCGCCAAAAAAUCGCGAAAAAUGGCAAAAAAUUCUUAAAAAAUCACCAAAAAAAUCCCAAAAAAUUCCUAAAAAUUCCCAAAAACCCCAAAUACCCUAAAUGUUUCAAAAAAGUCCCAAAAUUCCCCCAAACCCCCAUAAGAAGCAUUGAAAAAAUCACGAAAAAUCACCAAAAAAUCGCGAAAAAAUCGGUGAAAAAUCGCCAAAAAAUCCUCAAAAAUCUCCAAAAAAUCACGAAAAAAUUCCCAAAAAAUUCCCAAAAAUCCCCAAAAUCUGUGGCAUUGCUUUGGCAGCUGGAGGUGGCGGUGCUGAGCCCGUGCUGGCGCCUGGAGCUGGGCGCUGCCCACGGCUCCUUCGAGCUGCCCUCGCACUCCUGCUCGGGGCUGCGCGUGCGCUUCCUGCGCCCUCUCGGGGCCGCCGGGGCAGCGCUGGGUGCGGUACCUGACCCACAGCGACUCCUACGUGCUGCGCCUCUGAGAACCUUCCGGAAGCCCGGGGAGCCCCGAUCCGGGCCGGGAAACCCCCGGGAAUUCCCCAAAUAAACGGCUCGGAAAUGA